GUAAACUCUCUUUUCUAACCUGUCUCCCUCUUAAGAGCAAUUUGAUAUUGGGACAACAUAAGUAAUUUCAAACGGCUUAGCUUGGAUAAAUGGUUCUACUUGAGCCAAAGCUACAAAAACAUGUAUGGCUUUAACAGUUUAACCUAACCCAAAUCAUCUUCAUCUACCUUUGAACUAUGCACCAAAAGAGUUUGCCCAAGCCAAGGUCGAGUUCAGUUUUCCGAUCUUCUCGAUGAGCUCUGUGACAACUUCUUUAAUGGUUCUCUCCUUUAGGAUAUGGAAAAUAAAUAAUGAAGAUACUUAAAUAUUAACUAUUGAAGAGGG
Telopea speciosissima is the source of this 324-nucleotide long non-coding RNA. RefSeq lists it as uncharacterized. The record is from RefSeq and is a predicted model, not a curated record. Lineage: Eukaryota; Viridiplantae; Streptophyta; Magnoliopsida; Proteales; Proteaceae. The transcript is spliced from 3 exons.